CCCCCUAUGGAGGGGAACCCCGGGAACUGGGGAUAAUACCCCAUAGACUAUGGAUGCUGGAAUGCUCUGUAGUUGAAAGGUCCGCCGCCAUAGGAUGGGUCUGCGGCCGAUUAGGUUGUUGUUGGGGUAACGGCCCAACAAGCCUGUAAUCGGUACGGGUUGUGGGAGCAAGAGCCCGGAGAUGGAUUCUGAGACACGAAUCCAGGCCCUACGGGGCGCAGCAGGCGCGAAAACUUUACAAUGCGGGAAACCGUGAUAAGGGAACUCCGAGUGCCCGUAAAAUCGGGCUGUCCAUCUGUUUAAAUAACAGGUGAAGAAAGGGCCGGGCAAGACCGGUGCCAGCCGCCGCGGUAAUACCGGCGGCUCGAGUGGUGGCCACUAUUACUGGGCUUAAAGCGUUCGUAGCUGGUUUGUUAAGUCUCUGGGGAAAUCUGCCGGCUCAACCGGCAGGCGUUCCAGGGAUACUGGCAGACUAGGGACCGGGAGAGGUGAGGGGUACUCCAGGGGUAGGAGUGAAAUCCUGUAAUCCUUGGGGGACCACCUGUGGCGAAGGCGCCUCACCAGAACGGCUCCGACAGUGAGGGACGAAAGCUGGGGAGCAAACCGGAUUAGAUACCCGGGUAGUCCCAGCCGUAAACGAUGCGCGUUAGGUGUAUCGGUGACCACGAGUCACCGAGGUGCCGAAGAGAAAUCGUGAAACGUGCCGCCUGGGAAGUACGGUCGCAAGGCUGAAACUUAAAGGAAUUGGCGGGGGAGCAC
This 759-nucleotide ribosomal RNA is filed under the name uncultured archaeon. Its description in RNAcentral is "bacterial SSU rRNA". It matches the Rfam family "Archaeal small subunit ribosomal RNA", at positions 110 to 879 of the family's 1478-position model. The record is from RNAcentral.